Non-coding RNA from Myotis brandtii (Brandt's bat), 75 nucleotides. The record is from Rfam. Lineage: Eukaryota; Metazoa; Chordata; Mammalia; Chiroptera; Vespertilionidae.
GAGACACCCUUAUGGGGAAGACUUGUUUCAGUGGGGCUUUGGUGCUCACUGAGUCUGCCCCCUGAGUGUGUCCCU